CGUGCCUAAUACAUGCAAGUCGAGCGGACCAAAGGGAAGCUUGCUCCUGGAGGUUAGCGGCGAACGGGUGAGUAACACGUGGGCAACCUGCCUGUAAGACUGGGAUAACGUCGAGAAAUCGGUGCUAAUACCGGAUAAUAAAAAGAACUGCAUGGUUCUUUUUUGAAAGAUGGUUUCGGCUAUCACUUACAGAUGGGCCCGCGGCGCAUUAGCUAGUUGGUGAGGUAACGGCUCACCAAGGCGACGAUGCGUAGCCGACCUGAGAGGGUGAUCGGCCACACUGGGACUGAGACACGGCCCAGACUCCUACGGGAGGCAGCAGUAGGGAAUCUUCCGCAAUGGACGAAAGUCUGACGGAGCAACGCCGCGUGAGUGAUGAAGGUUUUCGGAUCGUAAAACUCUGUUGUUAGGGAAGAACAAGUGCCGUUCGAAAGGGCGGCACCUUGACGGUACCUAACGAGAAAGCCACGGCUAACUACGUG
RNAcentral lists this ribosomal RNA (482 nucleotides) under uncultured bacterium. RNAcentral's name for it is "bacterial SSU rRNA". It matches the Rfam family "Bacterial small subunit ribosomal RNA", at positions 43 to 507 of the family's 1533-position model. The record is from RNAcentral.